AAUGGCUACCAAAGAAAGAGAGAGAAUUGGAAGGAGAGAGAUAGAGGGUGAAUUGUUGGUUAGGAUUUGACGACAUUGAAGAGAGGAGGAGAGGGUGGAGGGCGAAUUGGGUAUUUGGCUGCCAAAAAGAGCGAGGGGGAAAGGGAGAGAGAAGGAGAAAGGGUUACUGGGUUUUUUUUGGUACCUUUGUUUUGACAGAGAAAUGGGGAGGAGGAAGGUGGUUACUGGGGUUGGUUUGGGCAGUGGGGCUAGUUGAGAUGAGGGAAAAUGUGGUCG
RNAcentral lists this long non-coding RNA (276 nucleotides) under Prunus persica (peach). Its description in RNAcentral is "long non-coding RNA (PPER_LNC000365)". Lineage: Eukaryota; Viridiplantae; Streptophyta; Magnoliopsida; Rosales; Rosaceae. The record is from RNAcentral.